AGAAAGGGAAAGCUACCGACCUUCCUUUGGAGAGUUCAGAACUGCUUCUUUGAAAAGUAAAGCUUUUCGCGGAGCGUGGAGGUGCACACCUCACACCUAUCAUCAUGGCGCUUGGGAAACAGAGGCAGGAGGAUCACUAUGGAAGAGGAUAGAGGUACAGUUGACCUGUUUGGAAGAGAUUCAAAUAAAUGAUUUACUCCCAGUCCCAUACAUCUGGGAGCUCAGUACCUUGUCCACGCUGUCGUUUCUCUACUUGUAUAAGGUCAGAUCAAGCCUCCUCCCCAAGGAAGCCUCCCCAAAUGGUUUGCACACUAAAAAAUGCAGAGCGGAGGAGUUUUUGUAGAAGGUUGUGUUUAAGAUCAGAGGAGAAACAGGCUGGAUCCAGAAGAAAGCCGUUGGCGAAAUUCCACCUUGUUGAUUAAGAAAACAUUACUGGGUGGCUAUUUUGUGCUAUUGAGGCUGCGGUGAAGCAUGAGACCUGAUAUCAAGGACCUGGGGAUGGGAUGAACAGUCAGGUCCUGAUGUCAAACAAGACCCAGUCAUUCCCAGUUACUGUGGAGAACAAGUCUCACCAGGAAAAUUAAACAAUCCCAUGCCUAUUGUAAAAAAAGAUACUGUUCUGAAUGAUGGAAUAGACCUGGAGGAUGAGUCAAAAACUCCAGUAGGAAAUAGGAAAUGUACAUUUUGGCAGAUUUCUGUAAAUGAUCAAAGACUUUGGUCUAAGAGUGAGUAUAAAUGACAUUGUAAUUGAGGGAUUACAAGACACAGGUGUGGAUGUGACUAUUAUUACUU
This is a long non-coding RNA of Arvicola amphibius (Eurasian water vole), 792 nucleotides long. RefSeq lists it as uncharacterized. The transcript is spliced from 4 exons. Lineage: Eukaryota; Metazoa; Chordata; Mammalia; Rodentia; Cricetidae. The record is from RefSeq and is a predicted model, not a curated record.